GAGUUUGAUCGUGGCUCAGGACGAACGCUGGCGGCGUGCCUAACACAUGCAAGUCGAGCGGAAAGGCUCCUUCGGGAGUACUCGAGCGGCGAACGGGUGAGUAACACGUGGGUAAUCUGCCCAGGACACAGGAAUAACCAGUGGAAACGCUGGCUAAUGCCUGAUGAAGUGCCGGCCCUGCGGGGCUUGGUACCAAAGGUAGCUUCGGCCUCCGGUCUUGGAUGAGCCCGCGGCCCAUUAGCUUGUUGGCGGGGUAACGGCCCACCAAGGCGACGAUGGGUAGCUGGUCUGAGAGGACGAUCAGCCACACUGGGACUGAGACACGGCCCAGACUCCUACGGGGGGCAGCAGUGGGGAAUCUUGCGCAAUGGGCGAAAGCCUGACGCAGCAACGCCGCGUGCGGGAAG
RNAcentral lists this ribosomal RNA (407 nucleotides) under uncultured bacterium. RNAcentral's name for it is "bacterial SSU rRNA". It matches the Rfam family "Bacterial small subunit ribosomal RNA", at positions 9 to 410 of the family's 1533-position model. The record is from RNAcentral.